This 205-nucleotide small RNA is filed under the name Pongo abelii (Sumatran orangutan). RNAcentral describes it as "processed transcript". The record is from RNAcentral. Lineage: Eukaryota; Metazoa; Chordata; Mammalia; Primates; Hominidae.
GCUCUUCCUCAGCCACCCGCAGACCAAGACCUACUUCCCGCACUUCGACCUGCACCCGGGGUCCGCGCAGUUGCGCGCGCACGGCUCCAAGGUGGUGGCCGCCGUGGGCGACGCGGUGAAGAGCAUCGACAACAUCGGCGGCGCCCUGUCCAAGCUGAGCGAGCUGCACGCCUACAUCCUGCGCGUGGACCCGGUCAACUUCAAG